RNAcentral lists this ribosomal RNA (1343 nucleotides) under uncultured bacterium. RNAcentral's name for it is "16S ribosomal RNA". It matches the Rfam family "Bacterial small subunit ribosomal RNA", at positions 28 to 1378 of the family's 1533-position model. The record is from RNAcentral.
GACGAACGCUGGCGGCGUGCUUAACACAUGCAAGUCGAACGGAAAGGCCCUGCUUUUGUGGGGUGCUCGAGUGGCGAACGGGUGAGUAACACGUGAGUAACCUGCCCUUGACUUUGGGAUAACUUCAGGAAACUGGGGCUAAUACCGGAUAGGAGCUCCUGCUGCAUGGUGGGGGUUGGAAAGUUUCGGCGGUUGGGGAUGGACUCGCGGCUUAUCAGCUUGUUGGUGGGGUAGUGGCUUACCAAGGCUUUGACGGGUAGCCGGCCUGAGAGGGUGACCGGCCACAUUGGGACUGAGAUACGGCCCAGACUCCUACGGGAGGCAGCAGUGGGGAAUAUUGCACAAUGGGCGGAAGCCUGAUGCAGCAACGCCGCGUGCGGGAUGACGGCCUUCGGGUUGUAAACCGCUUUCGCCUGUGACGAAGCGUGAGUGACGGUAAUGGGUAAAGAAGCACCGGCUAACUACGUGCCAGCAGCCGCGGUGAUACGUAGGGUACGAGCGUUGUCCGGAUUUAUUGGGCGUAAAGGGCUCGUAGGUGGUUGAUCGCGUCGGAAGUGUAAUCUUGGGGCUUAACCCUGAGCGUGCUUUCGAUACGGGUUGACUUGAGGAAGGUAGGGGAGAAUGGAAUUCCUGGUGGAGCGGUGGAAUGCGCAGAUAUCAGGAGGAACACCAGUGGCGAAGGCGGUUCUCUGGGCCUUUCCUGACGCUGAGGAGCGAAAGCGUGGGGAGCGAACAGGCUUAGAUACCCUGGUAGUCCACGCUGUAAACGGUGGGUACUAGGUGUGGGGUCCAUUCCACGGGUUCCGUGCCGUAGCUAACGCUUUAAGUACCCCGCCUGGGGAGUACGGCCGCAAGGCUAAAACUCAAAGGAAUUGACGGGGCCCCGCACAAGCGGCGGAGCAUGCGGAUUAAUUCGAUGCAACGCGUAGAACCUUACCUGGGUUUGACAUGGAUCGGGAGUGCUCAGAGAUGGGUGUGCCUCUUUUGGGGUCGGUUCACAGGUGGUGCAUGCCUGUCGUCAGCUCGUGUCGUGAGAUGUUGGGUUAAGUCCCGCAACGAGCGCAACCCUUGUCCACUGUCGCCAGCACGUUAUGGUGGGGACUCAGUGGAGACCGCCGGGGUCAACUCGGAGGAAGGUGGGGAUGACGUCAAGUCCUCAUGCCCCUUAUGUCCAGGGCUUCACGCAUGCUACAAUGGCUGGUACAGAGAGUGGCGAGCCUGUGAGGGUGAGCGAAUCUCGGAAAGCCGGUCUCAGUUCGGAUUGGGGUCUGCAACUCGCCCUCAUGAAGUCGGAGUCGCUAGUAAUCGCAGAUCAGCAACGCUGCGGUGAAUACGUUCCCGGG